This 741-nucleotide ribosomal RNA is filed under the name uncultured Verrucomicrobiota bacterium. RNAcentral describes it as "bacterial SSU rRNA". It matches the Rfam family "Bacterial small subunit ribosomal RNA", at positions 63 to 771 of the family's 1533-position model. The record is from RNAcentral. Lineage: Bacteria; Pseudomonadati; Verrucomicrobiota.
CGAACGGGGAACUACAUGAAGCUUGCUUUGAGUAGUUUCUAGUGGCGAACGGGUGCGUAACACGUGAGCAACCUGCCCGGAAGAGGGGGAUAGCCCGGGGAAACUCGGAUUAAUACCGCAUGCGGUCCCUCCUGGCAUUAGGAGGUGAUUAAAGGUGGGGAUCCUUCGGGACCUGCCGCUACCGGAUGGGCUCGCGGUCUAUCAGCUUGAUGGUGGGGUAAUGGCCUACCAUGGCUACGACGGAUAGCUGGUCUGAGAGGAUGGUCAGCCACACUGGAACUGAGACACGGUCCAGACACCUACGGGUGGCAGCAGUCGAGAAUCAUUCACAAUGGGCGAAAGCCUGAUGGUGCGACGCCGCGUGGAGGAUGAAGGUCUUCGGAUUGUAAACUCCUGUCAUCAGGGAGUAAGUCAGUUGGCGUUAAUAGCGUCAGCUGUUGUUAGUACCUGAAGAGGAAGAGACGGCUAACUCUGUGCCAGCAGCCGCGGUAAUACAGAGGUCUCAAGCGUUGUUCGGAUUUACUGGGCGUAAAGCGUGCGUAGGCGGCGAGGUAAGUCAGAUGUGAAAGCUCGGGGCUCAACCCCGAAAAUGCAUCCGAUACUGCCUUGCUAGAGUAAUGGAGGGGAGUCUGGAAUUCACGGUGUAGCAGUGAAAUGCGUAGAUAUCGUGAGGAACACUAGUGGCGAAGGCGAGACUCUGGGACAUUUACUGACGCUGAGGCACGAAGGCUAGGGUAGCGA